This 1395-nucleotide ribosomal RNA is filed under the name Vibrio crassostreae. RNAcentral describes it as "bacterial LSU rRNA". It matches the Rfam family "Bacterial large subunit ribosomal RNA", at positions 1441 to 2817 of the family's 2925-position model. The record is from RNAcentral. Lineage: Bacteria; Pseudomonadati; Pseudomonadota; Gammaproteobacteria; Vibrionales; Vibrionaceae.
GUACUUCUUACAAUUGCGAUGGGGGGACGGAGAAGGCUAGGUGGGCCUGGCGACGGUUGUCCAGGUUCAAGUACGUAGGCGGGUGGUUUAGGUAAAUCCGGACCGCUACUAACGCUGAGAUACGAUGUCGAGCUACUACGGUAGUGAAGUCAUUGAUGCCAUGCUUCCAGGAAAAGCCUCUAAGCUUCAGAUUGUAAGGAAUCGUACCCCAAACCGACACAGGUGGUCGGGUAGAGAAUACCAAGGCGCUUGAGAGAACUCGGGUGAAGGAACUAGGCAAAAUGGUACCGUAACUUCGGGAGAAGGUACGCUCUUAUCAGUGAAGUCCCUUGCGGAUGGAGCAGACGAGAGUCGCAGAUACCAGGUGGCUGCAACUGUUUAUUAAAAACACAGCACUGUGCAAAAUCGUAAGAUGACGUAUACGGUGUGACGCCUGCCCGGUGCCGGAAGGUUAAUUGAUGGGGUUAGACUUCGGUCGAAGCUCUUGAUCGAAGCCCCGGUAAACGGCGGCCGUAACUAUAACGGUCCUAAGGUAGCGAAAUUCCUUGUCGGGUAAGUUCCGACCUGCACGAAUGGCGUAAUGAUGGCCACGCUGUCUCCACCCGAGACUCAGUGAAAUUGAAAUCGCUGUGAAGAUGCAGUGUACCCGCGGCUAGACGGAAAGACCCCGUGAACCUUUACUACAGCUUGGCACUGAACAUUGAACCUACAUGUGUAGGAUAGGUGGGAGACUUUGAAACCGCGUCGCUAGAUGUGGUGGAGUCGUCCUUGAAAUACCACCCUUGUAGUUUUGAUGUUCUAACGUUGGUCCCUGAAUCGGGAUUACGGACAGUGCCUGGUGGGUAGUUUGACUGGGGCGGUCUCCUCCCAAAGAGUAACGGAGGAGCACGAAGGUGGGCUAAACACGGUUGGACAUCGUGUGGUUAGUGCAAUGGCAUAAGCCCGCUUGACUGCGAGAAUGACAAUUCGAGCAGGUGCGAAAGCAGGUCAUAGUGAUCCGGUGGUUCUGAAUGGAAGGGCCAUCGCUCAACGGAUAAAAGGUACUCCGGGGAUAACAGGCUGAUACCGCCCAAGAGUUCAUAUCGACGGCGGUGUUUGGCACCUCGAUGUCGGCUCAUCACAUCCUGGGGCUGAAGUCGGUCCCAAGGGUAUGGCUGUUCGCCAUUUAAAGUGGUACGCGAGCUGGGUUUAGAACGUCGUGAGACAGUUCGGUCCCUAUCUGCCGUGGGCGUUGGAAAAUUGAAAGGGGCUGCUCCUAGUACGAGAGGACCGGAGUGGACGAACCUCUGGUGUUCGGGUUGUCAUGCCAAUGGCAUUGCCCGGUAGCUAAGUUCGGAAUCGAUAACCGCUGAAAGCAUCUAAGCGGGAAGCGAGCCUUGAGAUGAGUUUUCCCUG